Molecule: ribosomal RNA, 460 nt
Filed under: uncultured bacterium
Lineage: Bacteria
Description: partial 16S ribosomal RNA
Rfam family: Bacterial small subunit ribosomal RNA
Source: RNAcentral
CCUACGGGUGGCAGCAGUGAGGAAUAUUGGUCAAUGGACGAGAGUCUGAACCAGCCAAGUCGCGUGAAGGAUGACUGCCCUAUGGGUUGUAAACUUCUUUUAUAAAGGAAUAAAACGAGGCACGUGUGCCUUUUUGCAUGUCCUUUAUGAAUAAGGAUCGGCUAACUCCGUGCCAGCAGCCGCGGUAAUACGGAGGAUCCGAGCGUUAUCCGGAUUUAUUGGGUUUAAAGGGAGCGUAGAUGGGUUGUUAAGUCAGUUGUGAAAUUUUGCGGCGCAACCGUAAAAUUGCAAUUGAUACUGGCAGUCUUGAGUACAGGUGAGGUAGGCGGAAUGCGUGGUGUAGCGGUGAAAUGCUUAGAUAUCACGAAGAACCCCGAUUGCGAAGGCAGCUUACUAAACUGUGACUGACAUUGAUGCUCGAAAGUGUGGGUAUCAAACAGGAUUAGAUACCCGAGUAGUC